AAAGCCCCCGGCUCAACCGGGGAGGGUCAUUGGAAACUGUUUUACUUGAGUACAGAAGAGGAGAGUGGAAUUCCAUGUGUAGCGGUGAAAUGCGCAGAGAUAUGGAGGAACACCAGUGGCGAAGGCGACUUUCUGGUCUGUAACUGACGCUGAGGCUCGAAAGCAUGGGGAGCAAACAGGAUUAGAUACCCUGGUAGUCCAUGCCGUAAACGAUGAGUGCUAAGUGUUGGAGGGUUUCCGCCCUUCAGUGCUGCAGCUAACGCAUUAAGCACUCCGCCUGGGGAGUACGACCGCAAGGUUGAAACUCAAAGGAAUUGACGGGGGCCCGCACAAGCGGUGGAGCAUGUGGUUUAAUUCGAAGCAACGCGAAGAACCUUACCAGGUCUUGACAUCCUUUGACCACUCUAGAGAUAGAGCUUUCCCUUCGGGGACAAAGUGACAGGUGGUGCAUGGUUGUCGUCAGCUCGUGUCGUGAGAUGUUGGGUUAAGUCCCGCAACGAGCGCAACCCUUAUUAUUAGUUGCCAGCAUUCAGUUGGGCACUCUAGACUGACUGCCGGUGACAAACCGGAGGAAGGUGGGGACGACGUCAAAUCAUCAUGCCCCUUAUGAUUUGGGCUACACACGUGCUACAAUGGACAGGUUACAAAGGGCAGCAACGCCGCGAGGCCAAGCGAAUCCCAUAAAACUGUUCUCAGUUCGGAUUGGAGUCUGCAACUCGACUCCAUGAAGCUGGAAUCGCUAGUAAUCGUAGAUCAGCAUGCUACGGUGAAUACGUUCCCGGGUCUUGUACACACCGCCCGUCACACCACGGAAGUCGAUAACACCUGAAGCCGGUGGGCCAACCAUUUAUGGAGGCAGCCGUCGAAGGUGGGAUGGAUGACUGGGGUG
RNAcentral lists this ribosomal RNA (889 nucleotides) under uncultured bacterium. RNAcentral's name for it is "bacterial SSU rRNA". It matches the Rfam family "Bacterial small subunit ribosomal RNA", at positions 597 to 1482 of the family's 1533-position model. The record is from RNAcentral.